RNAcentral lists this ribosomal RNA (387 nucleotides) under uncultured bacterium. RNAcentral describes it as "partial 16S ribosomal RNA". It matches the Rfam family "Bacterial small subunit ribosomal RNA", at positions 338 to 723 of the family's 1533-position model. The record is from RNAcentral.
CCUACGGGAGGCAGCAGUGAGGAAUAUUGGUCAAUGGGCGGGAGCCUGAACCAGCCAAGUAGCGUGAGGGAUGACGGCCCUAUGGGUUGUAAACCGCUUUUGCCGGGGAGCAAAGUGCCGCACGUGUGCGGUUUGGAGAGUACACGGAGAAAAAGCAUCGGCUAAUUCCGUGCCAGCAGCCGCGGUAAAACGGAGGAUGCGAGGGUUAUCCGGAUUUAUUGGGUUAAAGGGGUGCGUAGGCGGACGCUUAAGUCAGCGGUAAAAUUGCGGGGCUCAACCUCGUCGAGCCGUUGAAACUGGGUUCCUUGAGUGAGCGAGGGGUACGCGGAAUUCGUGGUGUAGCGGUGAAAUGCUUAGAUAUCACGCAGAACUCCGAUUGCGAAGGCA